AGUGAACGCUGGCGGCGUGCCUAAGACAUGCAAGUCGUACGAGAUAGUUCCUUCGGGAAUGUGUAAAGUGGCGCACGGGUGAGUAAUACCUAGGUAACUCUCCCUCUCGCUGGGGAUAACUAAGGGAAACUUUAGCUAAUACCGAAUGAUUCGACAGAAACUGCGGUUUUUGUCGACAAAGCCUCACGGCGCGAGAGGAGCGGCUUAGGUCCCAUUAGCUAGUUGGUAAGGUAACGGCUUACCAAGGCUUUGAUGGGUAGCUGGUCUGAGAGGACGACCAGCCACACUGGUACUGGAACACGGACCAGACUCCUACGGGAGGCAGCAGUUAGGAAUAUUGCGCAAUGGGGGAAACCCUGACGCAGCGACGCCGCGUGGGUGAAGAAGGCCUUCGGGUUGUAAAGCCCUUUUCUCAGGAACGAAAAAAAUGACGGUACCUGAGGAAUAAGCACCGGCUAACUCUGUGCCAGCAGCCGCGGUAAUACAGAGGGUGCAAGCGUUAUUCGGAAUUACUGGGCGUAAAGCGCGUGUAGGUGGUUUUGUAAGUCUGAUGUGAAGGCCCGCGACUCAAUCGCGGAAGUGCAUUGGAUACUGCAAGACUGGAGCAUGGGAGAGGUGGACGGAAUUCCUGGUGUAGAGGUGAAAUUCGUAGAUAUCAGGAGGAACAACAGAAGCGAAAGCGGUUCACUGGACCAUUGCUGACACUGAGACGCGACAGCGUGGGGAGCAAACGGGAUUAGAUACCCCGGUAGUCCACGCCGUAAACGAUGGACACUAGAUGUCGGGAGCUCUUACUCUCUCGGUGUCGAAGCUAACGCGUUAAGUGUCCCGCCUGGGGAUUACGGCCGCAAGGUUAAAACUCAAAGAAAUUGACGGGGGCCCGCACAAGCGGUGGAGUAUGUGGUUCAAUUCGACGCUACGCGAAAAACCUUACCUGGGCUUGACAUCCCACGCUAUCCCUAGAAACAGGGAGUUCCCUUCGGGGACGUGGAGACAGGUGUUGCAUGGCUGUCGUCAGCUCGUGUCGUGAGAUGUUGGGUUAAGUCCCGCAACGAGCGCAACCCUCGCCGUUAGUUGCCAGCAUUAAGUUGGGCACUCUAAUGGGACCGCUUGCCGACAAGGCAGAGGAAGGUGGGGAUGACGUCAAGUCCGCAUGGCCCUUACGUCCAGGGCAACACACGUACUACAAUGGCCACUACAAAGCGUUUGCAAGAGUGUAAACUGGAGCUAAUCGCAAAAAAGUGGUCUCAGUUCGGAUCGGAGUCUGCAACUCGACUCCGUGAAGUUGGAAUCGCUAGUAAUCGCGGAUCAGCAUGCCGCGGUGAAUACGUUCCCGGGCCUUGUACACACCGCCCGUCACGCCAUGGAAGCUGGUAGCGCUUGAAGAGGCCGUACUAACUCGCAAGAGAGGUAGGUCUUAAUGGCGAUGCCGGUGACUGGGGUG
Molecule: ribosomal RNA, 1444 nt
Filed under: uncultured bacterium
Lineage: Bacteria
Description: bacterial SSU rRNA
Rfam family: Bacterial small subunit ribosomal RNA
Source: RNAcentral